Molecule: long non-coding RNA, 192 nt
Organism: Cyprinus carpio (common carp)
Lineage: Eukaryota; Metazoa; Chordata; Actinopteri; Cypriniformes; Cyprinidae
Exons: 4
Source: RefSeq, a predicted model, not a curated record
CUGAGCCUUUGAAGAUGAGCAAGACCAACAAGAACCAGUCAGGUAAAAAUCCUUGGUGAAGUCACCAGAUAUGGAUGGCGUGUAUGUUGUUUGACAUUGCAGUGUGCUGAUGAGUUAAUAAAGAGCGUGUAUGUUGUUCGACAUUUGCAGCGUGCUGAUGAGUAUCGCUCUUUCGGUUAAUAAAGAGGUAAG